This 2321-nucleotide long non-coding RNA is filed under the name Canis lupus familiaris (dog). RNAcentral describes it as "selenoprotein F (ENSCAFG00845019467.1)". The stretch from base 1055 to 1120 matches the Rfam family "Selenocysteine insertion sequence 1". The record is from RNAcentral. Lineage: Eukaryota; Metazoa; Chordata; Mammalia; Carnivora; Canidae.
UGGCGCCUGGACCCGGCGGGCGGCUCCGGCCGGCGCUGCGGCUGCGGCUGCUGCUGGCUGCGGUCCUUCAAGCGGUGUCUACAUUCGGGGCAGAGUUUUCAUCAGAAGCUUGCAGAGAGUUAGGCUUCUCCAGCAACUUGCUCUGCAGCUCUUGUGAUCUUCUUGGACAGUUUAACCUGCUUCAGCUGGAUCCUGACUGCAGAAGAUGCUGUCAGGAAGAAGCACAAUUUGAAACAAAAAAGCUUUAUGCAGGUGCUAUUCUUGAAGUUUGUGGAUGAAAAUUGGGGAGGUUCCCUCAAGUCCAAGCUUUUGUCAGGAGUGACAAACCCAAACUAUUCAGAGGACUACAAAUCAAGUAUGUUCGUGGUUCAGACCCUGUAUUAAAGCUCUUGGAUGACAACGGGAACAUUGCUGAAGAACUAAGCAUCCUCAAUGGAAACACAGACAGUUGUAGAAGAAUUCCUGAGUGAAAAGUUGGAGCGCAUAUAAAUCUUGCUUAAAUUUUGUCCUACCUUUUUGUUACUUCAUCAAAUGAAAUAUUUCAGUACCUAGAGAAUAUUUUAGUUUUGCUUCCUUCUGAUCAGUCCUGGUCUCUGAGGCAUUAAACAUCUAAUUAACAGUGAAGUGGCAGCACAGCCCUUGGUAUCUAAGGAGUUGGCAAGCUUAACAAAAACCCAGUUUUCAAUAGAUUUCCAUCCUUCUACAUUUGUUGAUACCACUAAUGAAAUGCUUUGUAAUAGACUUGGCUAUUAUGCAAAUGAUGGUUUGUAAUAAUUGGUCCAGUUUUACAAACAACAGAUUUUUAGAUUAGGAGGUUAAUAAGGGAGAUGCCUACUGUGCCUCUUGCGUGUGCUGGGUGCUCUUUGAAAGCAUCAGCAAAAACUACAAAGCAAAGUAAGAUCUGAGCCUCAACAGAUUGCCUGGUUCUCAUUCUCCCAGCUUUCUUUUUAAUAGAAAUGUUAUAGUUCAUAAUGAAUGUAUUGCAUUAAAACUUUAUGGCUUUAUUAUUGUAAAACAGAUUCAAGAUACAGUAAGAGUGAAACAUUCACAGAGAUUUGCAUUAAUGAAGACUACACAGAAAACCUUCAGGAGGAUUUGUGUGGAUCUGAUAUUUAGCAAAAUUUUGUGUUUCACACUCUUACAGAAAAAUCAGAAAUAAUCAUUUGUUUAAGACCAAAAUAUAAAUAAAGUUUUAAAAAAAAUCAAUGAGAAUUUGAAAUUCUUCUGAUUUAUCCUCAUGUUUAUUCUCAGUACAUUUUUAUUUUUCCAUAGAAGCUCUCCCUAUUUUAUCCAAAUGUUAAAAUGGCUACACUGUGUCAAACUUAUUGUGGGUAAAAUCUCUUUAUACUUGUGUAGCAGCUUCUUGAAGUGCUUUCUUCUGUGAAUGCAUUUUUAUUGAUAUCUCUUUUAAGGAUAGCUUUUAAAAUGCAGAAUUUUUAUGAGCUAUUAAAAAUUAUUUUUCUUGCUUGACGUUCUGUCUGGUGGUUGGUUCAAGAACAUUCAUCCAAAUGAGUUUAGGUCAUUUAAACUUCUUACUAACUUAUCAGAUUAGACUAAUUUUAUUAUGUCAGCUAAAUCUCCAGAUAAAGUCUUAAAAAUCUAGAAACUAAAAAUAAAUUCAGAAUUAAACCAUCUUAAUGAAGGAUAUUUGAAAGUCUUUUAAAGACAACUCUCCCAGGAAAUGUUCAUAGAAUAUUUUUAAGAGAUUGGUUAUUUUUGCUAGCAUUUUAUACUAUGUCCUAUUUUAAGUAUAUUUAUAAAGUCAUGAAGAGAAAAUACUAUGAGUAGCCUUGGCAAACAGAGUAAGAUCUAUUUUUGAUCAUUUAGAGUAAUGAGAGCCAUCGUUUUGAUAGUGCAAGAUCCUGGAUGGUGUGGCACUAAUCCCCAAGGGCCAUUAUUACUUGAGCAAGACGAAGGUGAAGCCAGUCAUGGACAGUGGGGAAAAAUAGACGACGAGGUGCUACCACACACAGAUGAACAGUAGGAUAGAAUGGAUGAAACUUCAAAACUUCUGAGACUGGCACAGGAAACUAAUUGGACUGCUGUCUGGGCAGGAAGAGCCAGUUAAAUGAGUGUCUGGCAUUGGUUUAAAAAAAAGUGAAGUUUAAAAACUAUUCAAGUUAUUAUAUUCAAGUUAUUAUGAGAGAUCAAACGAGGCUAAAGAAUCCCAUAGUAUCUUAGAGCUUGAAGUUCUUGGGUUGAUGAAUAUCCAUCAAGCUCUACUAUGUUAAUUGGGAGGUUCAAAUUAAUCAGCCAAAUUCUACUUAUCACCAGUUCCAAUCUAAGAACAGCUAAAAGCUCUUUAAAAAAAAAAAAAAAAA